GACCAGCUGGGCUGGUGCCCAGUACGUGGCGGACCCUGGCGGCGCUAGCCUCAGCGACCAGCCCGGGAGAAGAUGCCGCAGGAAUUUGAUUCAAAUUCCCAUGACAACACCAUGCCCUUAAUAUAACA
This is a long non-coding RNA of Cotesia glomerata, 128 nucleotides long. RefSeq lists it as uncharacterized. The transcript has 4 exons. Lineage: Eukaryota; Metazoa; Arthropoda; Insecta; Hymenoptera; Braconidae. The record is from RefSeq and is a predicted model, not a curated record.